Molecule: ribosomal RNA, 476 nt
Filed under: uncultured organism
Description: partial 16S ribosomal RNA
Rfam family: Bacterial small subunit ribosomal RNA
Source: RNAcentral
ACACUCCUACGGGAGGCAGCAGUGGGGAAUUUUGGACAAUGGGCGAAAGCCUGAUCCAGCAAUGCCGCGUGAGUGAAGAAGGCCUUCGGGUUGUAAAGCUCUUUUGUCAGGGAAGAAACGGUGAGAGCUAAUAUCUCUUGCUAAUGACGGUACCUGAAGAAUAAGCACCGGCUAACUACGUGCCAGCAGCCGCGGUAAUACGUAGGGUGCAAGCGUUAAUCGGAAUUACUGGGCGUAAAGCGUGCGCAGGCGGUUUUGUAAGUCUGAUGUGAAAUCCCCGGGCUCAACCUGGGAAGUGCAUUGGAGACUGCAAGGCUAGAAUCUGGCAGAGGGGGGUAGAAUUCCACGUGUAGCAGUGAAAUGCGUAGAUAUGUGGAGGAACACCGAUGGCGAAGGCAGCCCCCUGGGUCAAGAUUGACGCUCAUGCACGAAAGCGUGGGGAGCAAACAGGAUUAGAAACCCUGGUAGUCCCAUGA